CGGGGGAGCAAGCGUUGUUCGGAUUUACUGGGCGUAAAGGGCGGGUAGGCGGCCACCGCAAGUCGACUGUGAAAUCUCCGGGCUUAACCCGGAAAGGUCAGCCGAUACUGCGGGGCUAGAGUGCAGAAGGGGCAACUGGAAUUCUCGGUGUAGCGGUGAAAUGCGUAGAUAUCGAGAGGAACACCUGCGGCGAAGGCGGGUUGCUGGGCUGACACUGACGCUGAACUGCGAAAGCUAGGGGAGCGAACGGGAUUAGAUACCCCGGUAGUCCUAGCCUUAAACGAUGAAUGCUUGGUGUCUGGGGUUUUAUAGUCCCCGGGUGCCGUCGCUAACGCUUUAAGCAUUCCGCCUGGGGAGUACGGUCGCAAGACUG
RNAcentral lists this ribosomal RNA (373 nucleotides) under uncultured organism. Its description in RNAcentral is "bacterial SSU rRNA". It matches the Rfam family "Bacterial small subunit ribosomal RNA", at positions 527 to 896 of the family's 1533-position model. The record is from RNAcentral.